Molecule: long non-coding RNA, 349 nt
Organism: Mauremys reevesii (Reeves's turtle)
Lineage: Eukaryota; Metazoa; Chordata; Testudines; Geoemydidae
Exons: 3
Source: RefSeq, a predicted model, not a curated record
GCAUGCCUGCGUCGCAGUGUCUCUAUGGCAGAGUGGACCUCUUCCCACACAGCGUCCAGAUCCUGUGGCCUCUGCCUGAUCCAUGGGGUGUGUCAUCUGACCAGUAGCUGUGCCCUGUGUUACCAGCUAACAUUAAGUGUUUGCUCUGAAGCGAGAAGCGUUGCCAAGUGUGAAAUACUGGUUUACCACAAGAGGUGUCAUCUCCCGCCCCACAAAAGACGGCCCACGGACAGCAACCAAACCACUGUGGAACAGCAGAGGCCAGAAGACUUUGUGGAGUGCUCUUCCCGCCCCCAUGAAGCAGGUGGUCUCAUCCCAUCAGCUUGAACUCUGGGGGAGGGCAAUAAAA